AGCCUUCUGUAUCCGUGCUGAGAUUUCGUCACACACCAGACCAGAAGGGCUGAUGAGACUCCCAACAAUAACACAGAUU
Non-coding RNA from Schistosoma mansoni, 79 nucleotides. The record is from Rfam. Lineage: Eukaryota; Metazoa; Platyhelminthes; Trematoda; Strigeidida; Schistosomatidae.